Long non-coding RNA from Anolis carolinensis (green anole), 623 nucleotides. RefSeq lists it as uncharacterized. The transcript is spliced from 3 exons. Lineage: Eukaryota; Metazoa; Chordata; Lepidosauria; Squamata; Anolidae. The record is from RefSeq and is a predicted model, not a curated record.
CUCCCCUGGCCAAUCAGCGAGGAGCCGGCCGGCAGGGCAGGGGCAGGAAAUUCAAAAUUGUAAAGUAUAAAAAGUGCAUUUUUCUAUGUAAUGGCAUGUCGGUUCUUCCCGCAACUUAUUGCUACUGUCAUCAUGCUCCAGCUGGACAGACUAAAGCGUCGGUGAUUUCUGCUUCAAACCUGGCCUGUCUGUGUCUAAUUUAGCCUUCUGGACAUAUUGGGCUUCCAAAUACACUGUUCUUGAGGAUGCUGAAAUCACAUAACACCAGACCUGAAUCCUGUGGUACCAGACUGACCACUUUUCUCCAGGAUGAGGAGGAUCCAUUGGCUGUCAUUUAAAGGACUUCCAUAUGAAGCUUUCGAGGAACUUCUUAUGCAGUUGGAUGAAUCAGAAAUUACAGCCACUUUGGAAAUUGAUUUCUGCUCACUAACUCACAAAAUCUGUGCAUGGGAGCUAAUCUCAUGAAUUACCACAGACUUGCUCUGAUGAAGACUUAAGACUUCAGGUACUUAAAAGACAAGACAGGGUUGUUCAGUGUCUCUUUUCACCGUCACCAAGCAGCAUGAAACUUCUAGACAUUCCUGGCUGAAUUUAAAUGAUUAAAGACUCAACAUCUGUCCUGG